This 497-nucleotide ribosomal RNA is filed under the name uncultured bacterium. Its description in RNAcentral is "partial 16S ribosomal RNA". It matches the Rfam family "Bacterial small subunit ribosomal RNA", at positions 28 to 507 of the family's 1533-position model. The record is from RNAcentral.
GAUGAACGCUGGCGGCGUGCCUAAUACAUGCAAGUCGAGCGAACGGACGAGAAGCUUGCUUCUCUGAUGUUAGCGGCGGACGGGUGAGUAACACGUGGAUAACCUACCUAUAAGACUGGGAUAACUUCGGGAAACCGGAGCUAAUACCGGAUAAUAUUUUGAGCCGCAUGGUUCAAAAGUGAAAGACGGUCUUGCUGUCACUUAUAGAUGGAUCCGCGCUGCAUUAGCUAGUUGGUAAGGUAACGGCUUACCAAGGCAACGAUGCAUAGCCGACCUGAGAGGGUGAUCGGGCACACUGGAACUGAGACACGGUCCAGACUCCUACGGGAGGCAGCAGUAGGGAAUCUUCCGCAAUGGGCGAAAGCCUGACGGAGCAACGCCGCGUGAGUGAUGAAGGUCUUCGGAUCGUAAAACUCUGUUAUUAGGGAAGAACAUAUGUGUAAGUAACUGUGCACAUCUUGACGGUACCUAAUCAGAAAGCCACGGCUAACUACGUG